RNAcentral lists this ribosomal RNA (253 nucleotides) under uncultured bacterium. RNAcentral's name for it is "partial 16S ribosomal RNA". It matches the Rfam family "Bacterial small subunit ribosomal RNA", at positions 524 to 776 of the family's 1533-position model. The record is from RNAcentral.
UACGGGGGGAGCAAGCGUUGUUCGGAUUUACUGGGCGUAAAGGGCGCGUAGGCGGCGUAACAAGUCACUUGUGAAAUCUCCGGGCUUAACCCGGAGCGGCCAAGUGAUACUGUUGUGCUAGAGUGCGGAAGGGGCUACUGGAAUUCUCGGUGUAGCGGUGAAAUGCGUAGAUAUCUGGAGGAACACCGGUGGCGAAGGCAGCUCGCUGGGACGGUACUGACGCUGAGACGCGAAAGCGUGGGGAGCAAACAGG